CGUGGGUAAUCUGCCCUGAUGAUUGGGACAACCCCGGGAAACCGGGGGCUAAUACCAAAUGUGCUCUUUCCACAUCAGUGGAUCGAGGAAAGGAGGCUUCGGCUUCCGCAUCGGGAUGAGCCCGCGGCCCAUUAGCUUGUUGGUGGGGUAAUGGCCUACCAAGGCUUCGAUGGGUAGCUGGUCUGAGAGGACGAUCAGCCACACUGGGACUGAGACACGGCCCAG
This 225-nucleotide ribosomal RNA is filed under the name uncultured bacterium. RNAcentral's name for it is "partial 16S ribosomal RNA". It matches the Rfam family "Bacterial small subunit ribosomal RNA", at positions 116 to 334 of the family's 1533-position model. The record is from RNAcentral.